This 276-nucleotide ribosomal RNA is filed under the name uncultured Alistipes sp. Its description in RNAcentral is "partial 16S ribosomal RNA". It matches the Rfam family "Bacterial small subunit ribosomal RNA", at positions 65 to 339 of the family's 1533-position model. The record is from RNAcentral. Lineage: Bacteria; Pseudomonadati; Bacteroidota; Bacteroidia; Bacteroidales; Rikenellaceae.
CAGCAUAAUGGAUAGCAAUAUCUAUGGUGGCGACCGGCGCACGGGUGCGUAACGCGUAUGCAACCUACCUUUAACAGGGGGAUAACACUGAGAAAUUGGUACUAAUACCCCAUAACAUCAGGACCGGCAUCGGUUUUGGUUGAAAACUCCGGUGGUUAUGGAUGGGCAUGCGUUGUAUUAGCUGGUUGGUGAGGUAACGGCUCACCAAGGCAACGAUACAUAGGGGGACUGAGAGGUUGAACGGCCACAUUGGAACUGAGAUACGGUCCAGACUCC